This 763-nucleotide ribosomal RNA is filed under the name uncultured bacterium. Its description in RNAcentral is "SSU rRNA". It matches the Rfam family "Bacterial small subunit ribosomal RNA", at positions 75 to 853 of the family's 1533-position model. The record is from RNAcentral.
GCCCUUCGGGGUACACGAGUGGCGAACGGGUGAGUAACACGUGGGUAAUCUGCCCUGCACUUCGGGAUAAGCCUGGGAAACUGGGUCUAAUACCGGAUAUUCAGCUUCUGCCGCAUGGUGGUUGUUGGAAAGUUUUUCGGUGCAGGAUGUGCCCGCGGCCUAUCAGCUUGUUGGUGGGGUAAUGGCCUACCAAGGCGACGACGGGUAGCCGGCCUGAGAGGGUGAUCGGCCACAUUGGGACUGAGACACGGCCCAGACUCCUACGGGAGGCAGCAGUGGGGAAUAUUGCACAAUGGGCGCAAGCCUGAUGCAGCGACGCCGCGUGAGGGAUGACGGUCUUCGGAUUGUAAACCUCUUUCGGCAGGGACGAAGCGAAAGUGACGGUACCUGCAGAAGAAGCACCGGCCAACUACGUGCCAGCAGCCGCGGUAAUACGUAGGGUGCGAGCGUUGUCCGGAAUUACUGGGCGUAAAGAGCUCGUAGGCGGUUUGUCGCGUCGUCUGUGAAAUCCUACAGCUUAACUGUGGGCGUGCAGGCGAUACGGGCAGACUUGAGUACUACAGGGGAGACUGGAAUUCCUGGUGUAGCGGUGGAAUGCGCAGAUAUCAGGAGGAACACCGGUGGCGAAGGCGGGUCUCUGGGUAGUAACUGACGCUGAGGAGCGAAAGCAUGGGUAGCGAACAGGAUUAGAUACCCUGGUAGUCCAUGCCGUAAACGGUGGGCGCUAGGUGUGGGUUCCCUCCACGGGACCCGUGCCGCAGCU